RNAcentral lists this ribosomal RNA (463 nucleotides) under uncultured bacterium. Its description in RNAcentral is "bacterial SSU rRNA". It matches the Rfam family "Bacterial small subunit ribosomal RNA", at positions 46 to 525 of the family's 1533-position model. The record is from RNAcentral.
GGAUUAGGCAUGCAAGUCGAGGGAGAACCCGCAAGGGGGACACCGGCGAACGGGGUAGGAUCACCUCGGUGACGUACCCUCCGGACGGGGAUAGCGACGGGAAACUGUCGGUAAUACCCGAUGACCUGGCGAGCUUUUAAGGCUUGUCAGCAAAGGUGAGAUUCCACCGGAGGAGCGGCUGAGGCGCUAUUAGCUAGUUGGGGAGGUAACGGCUCACCAAGGCGACGAUGGCUAGGGGGUGUGAGAGCAUGGCCCCCACCACUGGCACUGAGACACUGGCCAGACACCUACGGGUGGCUGCAGUCGAGAAUCUUCGGCAAUGGGCGCAAGCCUGACCGAGCGACGCCGCGUGCGGGAUGAAGGCCCUUGGGUUGUAAACCGCUGUCAGGGGGGAUGAAACCGUAAGGUUGACAGAGCCCCAGAGGAAGCACGGGCUAAGUUCGUGCCAGCAGCCGCGGUAAUA